This 253-nucleotide ribosomal RNA is filed under the name uncultured bacterium. RNAcentral's name for it is "partial 16S ribosomal RNA". It matches the Rfam family "Bacterial small subunit ribosomal RNA", at positions 524 to 776 of the family's 1533-position model. The record is from RNAcentral.
UACGGAGGGUGCAAGCGUUAUCCGGAUUUACUGGGUUUAAAGGGUGCGUAGGUGGGUCUGUAAGUCAGUGGUGAAAUCUCCGAGCUUAACUCGGAAACUGCCAUUGAUACUAUAGGUCUUGAAUUAUCUGGAGGUGAGCGGAAUAUGUCAUGUAGCGGUGAAAUGCUUAGAUAUGACAUAGAACACCCAUUGCGAAGGCAGCUAACUACGCGAUAAUUGACGCUGAUGCACGAAAGCGUGGGGAUCAAACAGG